AAUAAGCAAGCAAUGAACUAAUCAAUAUGCCUAACAAGCUACGAGGUACCUAUGCAGUCGAUUGUUCUGCUAAUUCUUUAGGACAAUAGAAUGCAAAAAAGUUCCCUGACAUCGUUUUACUACUAGUUAUCAAGUCAACCUGCUGGGCAACAGCUCCAAUGUCAUGAUGCACCAUGAGCAACCAGACGAAGGUGAGGAGCUCUCCUCCUCUGCCUAGCUGCUGAGCGUGCAGCUCCACUUGGCACUUGCCAGCAACAUAAAUGAGAAGCCUCAUCCACAUAUCUCUAAUCUCCACCAGCGUCUCGAGCCAUGCCCGAGGCUCCUCCUGCUCUGUGAGGCAUUCCUCAUAACCAAACUCCAGGUGAUCUUCCACUAGCUGGUAACAAGUCCCCAGAACAUCCUGUUUUCUGCUGCCUUUGUUGAUGAUCUUCUCAUAGAAUGAUGCUAUCGUGUCCUGUGCAGAACCACUCAGUGGCAACAUGGAAGGCUGCAUAACCAAGAGGUAGGCUAUGUAAUUGGAUAUCUUUCUGCAUGUGUCCAUGAUAUCAGCGGUACUGGUUGAUGUUGCCUCGCUACCAAUGACAUUUAAGUCAGGUUGUUUUCGCAAAUGCAGGUCAGUGUAUAUAUGCAGGAGAACAAUGUUAUUACCAAAUGAAUUAGCAGGAAUGUUCAGCGUGCAAUUGAUAAUAGGUUGAAGAUUUACCCAGUUUUGCUCCUGUAUAAUCCUCGUAAACUCUUCGCGAGCAAGACGUCUCACCCAUGUCACGACGUUCUCCAUGAUAUCCUUGUUCACCUUGGCAUGCUUGGUGUGCCAUAUCUUUCUGAACCAGAGCUUCUUGUUGACUGCAUUCAGCAUCUUUCUUAGGAUAGUCAACAUUUUGGAUGAUGACCUUGGCUCGUCAAAUCCUAUGCAGGAGCUCAAGAAGCUGAACUGU
This 935-nucleotide long non-coding RNA is filed under the name Oryza brachyantha (malo sina). RNAcentral's name for it is "long non-coding RNA (OBRA_LNC002805)". Lineage: Eukaryota; Viridiplantae; Streptophyta; Magnoliopsida; Poales; Poaceae. The record is from RNAcentral.